UACAGAGGGUGCAAGCGUUGUUCGGAAUUAUUGGGCGUAAAGCGCGUGUAGGCGGCUUUGUAAGUCGGGUGUGAAAUCCCUCAGCUUAACUGAGGAAGUGCGCCCGAAACUGCUUGGCUUGAGUGCCGGAGAGGAUGGCGGAAUUCCCAGUGUAGCGGUGAAAUGCGUAGAUAUUGGGAGGAACACCGGUGGCGAAGGCGACUCACUGGCCCGAUACUGACGCUGAGGCGCGAAAGCGUGGGGAGCAAACAGG
Molecule: ribosomal RNA, 253 nt
Filed under: uncultured bacterium
Lineage: Bacteria
Description: partial 16S ribosomal RNA
Rfam family: Bacterial small subunit ribosomal RNA
Source: RNAcentral